RNAcentral lists this ribosomal RNA (490 nucleotides) under uncultured Glomus. RNAcentral describes it as "SSU rRNA". It matches the Rfam family "Eukaryotic small subunit ribosomal RNA", at positions 602 to 1094 of the family's 1831-position model. Lineage: Eukaryota; Fungi; Glomeromycota; Glomeromycetes; Glomerales; Glomeraceae. The record is from RNAcentral.
UAUUAAAGUUGCUGCAGUUAAAAAGCUCGUAGUUGAAUUUCGGGGUCAAUAUGUUGGUCGUGCCUUGGUACGUACUGAUUUUAUUGGUUUCUCCCUUCUGACGAACCAUGAUGUCAUUAAUUUGGUGUCGUGAAGAAUCAGGACUGUUACUUUGAAAAAAUUAGAGUGUUUAAAGCAGGCUCGCGCUUGAAUACAUUAGCAUGGAAUAAUGAAAUAGGACAUUUGAUUCUAUUUUGUUGGUUUCUAGGAUCGAUGUAAUGAUUAAUAGGGAUAGUUGGGGGCAUUAGUAUUCAAUUGUCAGAGGUGAAAUUCUUGGAUUUAUUGAAGACUAACUACUGCGAAAGCAUUUGCCAAGGAUGUUUUCAUUAAUCAAGAACGAAAGUUAGGGGAUCGAAGACGAUCAGAUACCGUCGUAGUCUUAACCAUAAACUAUGCCGACUAGGGAUCGGAUGAUGUUAAUUUUUUAAUGACUCAUUCGGCGCCUUAUGGG